CCUACGGGGGGCUGCAGUGGGGAAUAUUGGACAAUGGGCGAAAGCCUGAUCCAGCCAUGCCGCGUGUGUGAAGAAGGCCUUCGGGUUGUAAAGCACUUUCAGUGGGGAAGAAAGCCUUGGGGCUAAUACCCUCGAGGAAGGACAUCACCCACAGAAGAAGCACCGGCUAACUCCGUGCCAGCAGCCGCGGUAAUACGGAGGGUGCGAGCGUUAAUCGGAAUUACUGGGCGUAAAGCGCGCGUAGGCGGUCUGAUAAGCCGGUUGUGAAAGCCCCGGGCUCAACCUGGGAACGGCAUCCGGAACUGUCAGGCUAGAGUGCAGGAGAGGAAGGUAGAAUUCCCGGUGUAGCGGUGAAAUGCGUAGAGAUCGGGAGGAAUACCAGUGGCGAAGGCGGCCUUCUGGACUGACACUGACGCUGAGGUGCGAAAGUGUGGGUAGCAAACAGGAUUAGAUACCCUUGUAGUC
RNAcentral lists this ribosomal RNA (465 nucleotides) under Vreelandella stevensii. RNAcentral's name for it is "partial 16S ribosomal RNA". It matches the Rfam family "Bacterial small subunit ribosomal RNA", at positions 338 to 795 of the family's 1533-position model. The record is from RNAcentral. Lineage: Bacteria; Pseudomonadati; Pseudomonadota; Gammaproteobacteria; Oceanospirillales; Halomonadaceae.